This 85-nucleotide transfer RNA is filed under the name Rickettsiaceae bacterium. RNAcentral's name for it is "tRNA-Leu". It matches the Rfam family "tRNA". Rfam says of the family: Transfer RNA (tRNA) molecules are approximately 80 nucleotides in length. Their secondary structure includes four short double-helical elements and three loops (D, anti-codon, and T loops). Lineage: Bacteria; Pseudomonadati; Pseudomonadota; Alphaproteobacteria; Rickettsiales; Rickettsiaceae. The record is from RNAcentral. RNAcentral also lists the same sequence under 1 other name.
GCGGUCGUGGCGAAACGGUAGACGCGCAGCGUUGAGGUCGCUGUUCUGAUAAGGAGUGGAAGUUCAAAUCUUCUCGACCGCACCA